Molecule: ribosomal RNA, 358 nt
Filed under: uncultured eukaryote
Lineage: Eukaryota
Description: LSU rRNA
Rfam family: Bacterial large subunit ribosomal RNA
Source: RNAcentral
CUCUCAGCUUAUUUUGCGCAGCUUAGGUGGGAGGCUAUGAACCUUUUCUUCUGGGAAGAGGGGAGCCGUCAGUGAGAUACCACUCUUGGUAAGCUAGAGCGCUCAGUCUUAACCGUCAUCCGGUAAGACGACAGUUUCAGGCGGGCAGUUUGACUGGGGCAGUCACCUCCCAAAAGGUAAUGGAGGUGUGCAAAGGUUCCCUCAGGCUGGACGGAAAUCAGCCAUAGAGUGUAAAAGCAAAAGGGAGCUUGACUGCGAGACUGACAUGUCAAGCAGAGACGAAAGUCGGCUUUAGUGAUCCGACGGUGCUGUGUGGAAAGGCCGUCGCUCAACGGAUAAAAGUUACUCUAGGGAUAAC